UAGGGAAUCUUCCACAAUGGGCGAAAGCCUGAUGGAGCAACGCCGCGUGUGUGAUGAAGGGUUUCGGCUCGUAAAACACUGUUGUAAGAGAAGAAUGACAUUGAGAGUAACUGUUCAAUGUGUGACGGUAUCUUACCAGAAAGGAACGGCUAAAUACGUUCAG
Molecule: ribosomal RNA, 163 nt
Filed under: uncultured bacterium
Lineage: Bacteria
Description: partial 16S rRNA
Rfam family: Bacterial small subunit ribosomal RNA
Source: RNAcentral